UCAAACUUGGUCAUUUAGAGGAAGUAAAAGUCGUAACAAGGUUUCCGUAGGUGAACCUGCGGAAGGAUCAUUAUUGAAUAAACUUUUUCCAAGUUUUUUUCAUAUUCCCUGUUUAUAUUUAAUACGUUCCUUCCAUCGGACAGGUCUUUUAGGACCCUCUAGCUUGAGCAAAUGCUUUUGCUGGGGAGUUGCCGGUGGCAUUUCUAAAAAAAAACUUUUGUUAUAUUAUGAAAUGUCUGAAUAUACUUUUUAAAUUAUAUAAAACUUUCAACAACGGAUCUCUAGGCUCUUGCAUCGAUGAAGAACGCAGC
This 311-nucleotide unclassified non-coding RNA is filed under the name uncultured fungus. Its description in RNAcentral is "partial contains small subunit ribosomal RNA, internal transcribed spacer 1, and 5.8S ribosomal RNA". The stretch from base 1 to 73 matches the Rfam family "Eukaryotic small subunit ribosomal RNA", at positions 1759 to 1831 of the family's 1831-position model. Lineage: Eukaryota; Fungi. The record is from RNAcentral.